CCCCCCACCCCUCGCCCGCGCGCUCCCACCCUGCUCCCCCUCCCCGGGGGAGGCCUUUUAAUUUAUUUAUUCUGCUGGGACUGAGGUGGGGGGCCCGGCUGGCGGGGGUGGGGGCGGGGGGCUCCCCGGCCUCUACCUCCCGCGGCUGGCUGGGGCGACCCCUCGAGCGGCGGCCGCCUCGGCGUGCGCCCCGGGUCUCCCCAAGUGUUUGCAAACUGCUGAGCCCGGAGGUGGGCGCGCGGGACUCGAGGGAGAGGGCUGGGCUUCUAGGGGGGCGAUUAUGUGUGUUUGGACGCUGGGACCCGCGAUGGGGGGGUGGACAGACGUCGACCCAGGAGGAGUUGCAAUCGAGGUUUCUGCUCUCUGGCUUCCUCUCCGGCCGGCGACCCCCUCCCCCCGGCGCCGAGCUGGGGAGGGGAAAACAGGAUUUGAACCGUAUUAGCAUUCGCAUGCCUGGGAAGGUUGCAGCCCUCGCCUGGAACUGGGUGAUGGAAGCUUUUUCUUUCUUUCUGUUUUUAUUUUUGAAGAGGAACAGCCCUGUAAUUGUCCUGAACACAUGCUUCUCUUCUCCACCACCACCCCACCUCUUUCCUCCAGCCACCAGCGACAGAGUCCCCCCCUUUUUUGCAUUUCUUUCCCUUCCCCUUUCUUUAUUAAAGGUCCGGGAGUGGCGGCGGCCAAUCAGCGCGCGGCUUCCAUCUUGUGAGUUCAACUCCGAGGCUCCCGGGCUUGGCGAGGACGCGUUCACAGCCCCCUCUGCCUCUCUUCUCGGGCGGCCAAGGCGAAGGAGCCGCCUGACUGGGGCUUCGUGGCGGUGUAUUUCAUAUUGGGGCUCUUUUCGGGGUUUGUAAUUUGGCCGUGGGUAGGUAAUUGGCUGGAGCUGAGCGGCAGGGCGCGGCAGCCAAUCAGCGCUCGGCUUCUAUAGGGUUUGAGUUAUUAGACGCUGAUCUCAAAACAUCCUUCAUCAGACACCAAGGAGAGGCCAACAGAUGAGGGGAGCCAUUUUUCUGCAAUGGAAUUAAAUGGCCAAGUGGGUUUUUCCUUUGUUGCGAGUGGGGAAUGUUUUUCCUUUGACUCCACCAUCCAGUUCAGGACGCUUGCAUGUGUUGUUUAACAUUUGUCAACAGGCUAAAGGACUCAAAAUUGGAAGAAUGAAGAAGACCUUUUAAAAAGAUCUGGAUUUUUCCUUAUGACUUGGAAUCCAUCUUUGUCUUGUAUAACUAGGUCAUAGCACACCAUUAAUGUCAGCAGUUAACAGUUUUGAAUUCCAAAAAACCUAAAGCAGUAAACAGUCCUCAGCGAAGCCGCCUUUUUGCCAACCCAACUCUGGAAAGGUUGCAGACGUGGAAGGAGCAGAAAAAUGCCAUAAGAGUGUAACUUACUAAAAGGUUCUUGGCUGGAGAAGGGGCAACAACCGGUUACCCGCGGAGUGGACAACCCUUCCUUCCCUUGGACAGCAGGAGCAGGCCUAGUUUGACAAUCCUCCCGUCAAAGGACCCUGGGGGUGGAGAUGGCUGCCGCUGCUCGGACCAAGGAGAGAGGCGUCCAAACGUUGUGGAGUCACCUACCCUGUGCGUUCUCCAGCUGCCUGUGACCCCCCAGCAACCCCUGCCCGCGGGACUGGAGCAGAGAACUGGGUGUAACCUUGUGAGCCGUUCCAAAGUGUUGAAAAGAUAGGAUCCUGCCUUGUUGCCCGAACUCCUGGCUUCCACUUCUGCGUCAGCCCCAGUACCUGUGACCGCAGGUGGCGAGCGGCUGGGUGCGGGCAGUGCUUUGUGCUGUGGAAAGUCACUGCCCUCCAGUGCUGGUGGCCGCUGGGGCUUGCAGAGACCUGCGGCCAGGUGCCAGGUACCUUGGCAGAUAAGUGGCCUGGUCGCCAUUUCCUCCCUCCGGGCCCUUGGGUGUCCAGGCUCCUUCCUGGGCCUGGGGUUUUUAUCUCUCACCAGCCGGGUGUUAAAUAAUUGAUUUAUGGUUUCCAACGCCCCGGAAGUGGGCGUCAUCAGCCCCCACCUGGCUUGUGGUAGCUGGACUUUGCCCAUUUCUCUCCAGGCUCAGAGUCCCCGUUGGCCUCCCUGUGGCAGGGUAAUCACACAUGAGCUCGCCCCACAAAAGCCACCUGGUAUCUCCCCGACCUUCCUGGGGCCCAGCAGAUCUUGUGGCAGGAACCAGCUCGCUGUCUCCAGGACCCCAUUGUGAGCAAGAGGGUGGUGAGGGUCCCGGGACACCUUGCCACUUGGAAGCAGCCUGGGGAGGGCAGGUGUGUCUGGCUCCUGUGCCAGCCACGAGGCCUCCAAGGAAGCACUGAGCAGCUGGCUGGGCUCCUGGGUAUUUUUAGCUACAGAUUCAGCCUCACCAUCACCAUGAGAGCUGGGUCCAUAUCAAACACUGAGGCCAGAGGGGACUGGGACUCUGCCAGACUCCUGGCCGGGCAGGCAGGGUGGGUGGGGCAGUUGCAGCUGUUCUGCCUGCUCCCAGGCAGGGCUGUGCUUUUGCUUGUUCUCUGCAGCUUGUUGUCACAGAUAGUAGAGCACCUAGCCCCAUUUCUCAGGUGGACAAAAUAGACUGAGGUCUGGGGGCUUUUUUUCCUUUGAAGUUGACAGUCUUGCUAUGUAGUUCAGGCUGGCCUUGAACCAUGUACCCCAGGUUGGCCUGGAACUCCAUGGUAGUCCUCCUGUCUCAGCCUCCUGAGUGCUGGGUUUACAGGCAUGUGCCACCUGGCAGUCCAAGGAUGUUGAGGAAAGGCAGGCACCCACCCACAGACCAUUGUGGUGAACCAGGCUUCUUGAGCCUUCUCAGGAAGUUCUGCCCAGGCCCCUUGCCGGUUGGACAGCCUCCCUCCCUCCCUGAGCUUCAGGUCCUGGGUGCAGGGCUCGAGGCUAGCUGCAAAGGUAAGUGGUUCUCACUUAAUCCCAAACCCACGCUGAGUGCCCCUUUGCCGGGCUGUGGUCCUACACUGUUCGGAUCUCCAUCAGACUGGUGCCCCUAACACUUCGAGCUCUGGGCAGGCAGGAACGCAGUUGCUUCUCAAUAAACAUGUUGCAAAAAAGGAACAGAUGAGUUGGAUGUGUAUUUAUUUAUCGAUGGAGCCCUUGACCUAGAAGAUCCUCCAUCCAGCGACAGGAGAGGGUGCCCACCUAAGAACCUGGCCUCCUUCCAGAUCGGCUGUUGUCUAUGGGUUUCCGCGGGCGGUCACUGCUGCUCUCUGGCGGCCACACUUCGUCUUGCACCUGCUGGAGAAAACAACUUGGCAUUUACAAAACUGCCAGGUUGGCAGUUUCUCUACAAAGUGAAAUCUGCUUGACUUUUGCUGAGACCUUGAAAAUGGAGUCUUUGGGGUCAAGAGCACGAAGCUCUUGGGUCCUGACAACCACCACCAUGCUGCCGGCAGGGUUUUAUUAGAAAUGAGCUUUACUUACCCCAGCCAGGAGGCUGCACUCAUCAGCCCAUGCCAUGGUGCCUACCUGCUGCGCCUAGGCUCCAGGGAUCCCUCUGCCACCACCUGGGCAGGGGACAGUCAGCCCGGGGUACCGGAGGGGACAG
This is a long non-coding RNA of Heterocephalus glaber (naked mole-rat), 3540 nucleotides long. Lineage: Eukaryota; Metazoa; Chordata; Mammalia; Rodentia; Bathyergidae. The record is from Ensembl.